This is a non-coding RNA of Callithrix jacchus (white-tufted-ear marmoset), 5714 nucleotides long. The record is from RefSeq and is a predicted model, not a curated record. Lineage: Eukaryota; Metazoa; Chordata; Mammalia; Primates; Cebidae.
CCUGCGUCUCCACCUCCUGCAGCAGGAAACGCUCGGGCCCGGCGCGCUGCAGCACGUCCUGGAGCCUGGCCUCCGACAGCUCCACGUGGCCGCGCAGGUCCCGCAGGAACAUGCGGCCGCCGUGGGCACACAGCACCUUGAAACAGGGUCUCCCCAUGUUGCCCAGGCUGGUCUUGAACUCCUCAAGCGAUCCACCUGCCUCCGCCUCUCAGAGCACUGGAAUUACAGGCGUGAGCCACCCCAAGGGGCCUUGCUAAGCUCUUUUGGAAGGUGGCUAGUCUGAAUUGAGAUGUGAUAUAAGUGUGAAAUACACUAGAUUUUGAGGGCUGAGAAUGAAAAAAGAAUGUAAAAUAUCUCAUUAACUUUAUAUAAAUCACAGGUCAAACUGAUAAUAUUUUGGAUAUAUUUGGUUAAAUAAAAUGUUACGACAACUUCAUGUGUUGCUUCUAGACUAAUGCAGCUAUGAGGACAUUUUAAAUUACAAAUGCAGAGUACCUUAUUUUUGUGGAGCAGCGCCAGUCUAGACCUGCCUUAAGCAGCCAUGUGUUUUGUCCAGCACCUUGCUUGUUUAAUGAACAUUGAUUGAGCCAACUACUAUCCCAGUAACAGUAAAAAGAUGAAUCAGAGAAUCCAGCCAGCCUAGCUGCUAUUUUACAAGGUGCUUGUGAGGAUUAAAUGCAUUAAUGUCAUAUAAUGUAAAGAAGCCGGAGAGGAAGACAAUUGGCCAGAUGCCAGAAGACUUUCUCUACCAUGCUGUGAAAUUUGGACUUAUAUUCUGAGAACUUUGGGAAAUCACUAAAAGAUUUUCAUCUGGCAAGUGUGGUUGUCUCCUGAAUGACAUACUCAAGGUGACCCACUCAAGGUGUGUCAUUCAGCUGUGAGCUUUAAUGUCUUCUCUUCCGCAAAACCUCUGCUGACCUCUCAAAUCUAAAGUAGCUCCCCAGUCUGCAUGGAACUUACUGCUGAUGCUUUUCUUCUGUAUUGUUUAUUUACAUAUAUAGCUGUAGAGUUCAGGCUCAUGAAAGCAGGAGCCUUGUUUUGUUCAUUGCUGCAUCCUCACCACCUAAAAUAGUGCCUGGCCAUGUUGUAGGACAGGCGUUUUAGAAAGACACCUGGCAGCAAUGAGAAGAAUGGAUUUCUAGAAAAGCAAGACAAGGUGGGGAAAAACAGAAAUAAACAGGAUUUGGGGAACUACAACCCCGAUGUUGUUUAUGUUGAGUUUGCAGUGGUCACCCCAAGGAAAGAUGCUCAACAGGCAGGUGUAUUCUGUGUACAGGGCUAGACCUUGAGGAACCUGAGAAGGGAAGGGGUGUAGAUUUGCAUGGCAUCAGAACAUUAAGAACAGAAGCUGUUAGAGUUGAUAAGAUCACUUGGCAAAAAUGAAGAAUGUGAAAAGGCAGAGGUGGGGGGAGAGAACCUUGGUGAAUAUCCACAUUAAAUAAGCAGGUGGAAGAAGAGAAAAAUAGGCAGUAGCCUAUGUCCCCUUGGCACUUAACAACUGUUCCUGAACUCUCUGCCUAAGCUCUUUGUUGGAAAUGGACGCUCAGUGCCACAAAGAAAGAUUAGCACUGAGACAAAGGAUCCUUCAGCAACGCCGUUUUUACUUCCUGGACUGCAGAAAGGGUCUCAGUAGCCGUCUUGCCACGAGAGUACAAAGAACAAAGGGAAUACACACAAAUUUAUGCCUUAUUCCUUAUGCAUUUGGGGUUGUCCUUACUGCUAUAUCUGAUCUCCAUUGGCUGGAGCCAGACCUCACAAUCUAAACUAAAACACGAUUGGCUAACAACUUAAAGCUUUUCUAAACAGGUAAAAGCAAUAGAGAGCUGGGACAUGGCCUGCGAGCACAUCCAGCACAGAUAUCUUGGUUAAGGUACAAGGACAUAGAAUGUCUACAUGCCUGGAAGCACGGCAUGUCUAACAGCUACAUAGGACAGGGCUUAACAAAGAGUUAUUAGCACAGUUAUGAUUUAACAAGAAAGGAAACUUUAACAAGGAACUUUUCUACUUCCCACACUUUUUUUCCAACAGAAGGAGCAAGCACCAGCAGGAAAGGUAGGCUGGAAUUACCGAGGAGCCAAUGCCUCCAGGAAGAGCCCUCAACCAGGAAUGUUGGGGAAUUGGUGGUCUGAGGAUGCACUCUGACCCCUAAAGUUGGUAUGAAGAUUAUUUUAAACUACAGACAUUGAAGAUUCAAUAGAGGCAAAAAGAAGGGUUCUUGAAGCUACCUUUAUUUCAGUAUAAGCAGAAGCUUCUGGGAGUGAGGCUGCCAUUCACCCCCUCUCCAGAAGUUUAUGGGCAUGAAAUAGAAGACCACAUGCACCUGCAUAAACAAACAUGAUCACAAACUUCCUUUUCUCCUAUUUGUUCCCCUAGAAACCCCUUUGUUCUUCCCAUAGGAGCCUUUUGGCCCCCUCUCUCAUCUAUUAAUUUAGGCAUAUAAAUCAUCAUCACUUCUUUUGUGCACUCCCAUUUACAUAUAUAUUUUUCUCUUGUCAGUUAAAUUUGCAGCCCCUCAGAACUGAACUUGAGAGGGUGCAGGGCCUUUCGGCUGGAACCGCCAUCUUCCAGUCAUUUGUCAAAAUGACGAACACAAAGGGAAAGAGGAGAGGCACUCGAUACAUAUUCUCUGGGCCUUUUAGAAAACAUGGAGUUGUUCCUUUGGCCACAUAUAUGCGAAUCUAUAAGAAAGGUGAUAUUGUAGACAUCAAGGGAAUGGGUACUGUUCACAAAGGAAUGCCCCACAGGUGUUAUCAUGGAAAAACUGGAAGAGUCUACAAUGUUACCCAGCAUGCUGUUGGCAUUGUUGUAAACAAACAAGUUAAGGGCAAGGUUCUUGCCAAGAGAAUUAAUGUGCGUAUUGAGCACAUCAAGCACUCUACAGCUUCCUGAAACGUGUGAAGGAAAAUGAUCAGAAAAAGAAGGAAGUCAAAGAGAAAGUUACCUGGGUUCAACCGAAGCGCCAGCCUGCUCCACCCAGAGAAGCGCACUGUGUGAGAGCCAAUGGGAAGGAGCCUGAGCUGCCAGAAUCUCUUCCCUAUGAAUUCAUGGCAUAAUAGGUAUUAAAAAAAAUAAAAGAUCUCUGACUAAAAAAAAAAGAAGAGGAUGCAGGAAAGUUGUUCCUCCCCAGUAAUGGAUCAAACAACCCAACUCAUUAUUCCUCAUGUGGAACCACUUGGAGGUGUACAUUCCAUGGUCUCCGGGGUUUCCUCAGUGGACCUGAGCCCCCGUUGUCCACAGCCACACCUCCUCAUCAGCACUCCCUAUACAGUCUUCCUUCCUCUCCCUGUCCCACCUCCCCAUUCCCCUGCCAGUGUUUCUUAGGAUCACCUCCCAAGUAAAGUGCUUGCAUUCGAUCCUUGUCUGAUUGCUCCUGAGGGAACAUAGCCUAACACAGAGGAAAAUAAGAGUCAUUCAUGGACACAUAGAGGAGUUUCAAGGAGGUGAUCAGCAUGGAUCUAGAACAUCUAAAGAUAAGUUUACCAUCUACCUGUUCUGUGAAACUUCAAGCUGGUCUGUACCUUCCAGCCCUGGCCUUCGUUCUUCCUUCUCCUGGAGCGCCCUUCUUCCCCCAGGCAGAGGCUGCUCUAUAAAUGGUAUCCCUCUGUUACCCAGGCUGCAGUGCAGUGGCACGAUCUCGGCUCACUGCAACCUCCACCUCCUGCGUUCAAGGUAUUCUCCGACUUCAGCCUCCUGAAUAGCUGGAAUUAUAGGCAUACAUCACCACAGCCCAGCUAAUUUUUAUAUUUUCAGUAGAGACAGGGGUUUCACUAUAUUGAUCAGGCUGGUCUCAAACUCCUGACCUCAGGUGAUCCACCUACCUCAGUCUUUCAAAGUGCUGGGAUUACAGAGAUGAGCUACUGCGCCCGGCUGGGAAAGCAAAAUUUCACCUCCAUCCAUUUACAGUGUUUUGGGGGGACUUGAGCAUUAAAUUGAUAUAAGACCCCAAUAGGAAUGACAAGCAAUGGAGACUCAGAAGGAUAGCGCAUGUUGGGAUGGGAGUACAUUACUUAAUGGGUGCAGUGUAUAUUAUUCAGGUGAUGGAUACCCUAGAAGCCCUGACUUUACUACUAGGUAAUCUAUGCCUGUGACAAAAUUACAUUUGUACUCCACAAAUUUAUAUACAAAAAGACAGGCCAACAGAAUAGCAUCACAUUUCUUUAAUACAAGUUUUAUGUGGCACAGAAGCCUUCCUAAGAAAUUGAGACUAAAGCUGUGGUUAGAGAUGAACCCUUGUACUGAAUUAGACAAAGAGUCAUAAAUUAUAAAAAUGGGAUGAGGCAAAGAGGCUUGGGCUAGGGAAGUUAACUGAGUGGAGAAGCGUCCAGGAGGAUAAAGACUUGUCUAAUGGGAUUUGUUUACACAGGUUUCCUGUCCUUGAUGAUAAGAAGGCUACUUUCAUUCUGGUAUAGGGAGGACAUCUUUCUUUUUUUUUGAGACAGUGAGUCUCACUCUGUCACCCAAGCUGGAGUGUAGUGGUGCAAUCUUAGCUCACUGCAACCUCCAUCUCCUGGGUUCAAGCAAUUCUCCUGCCUCAGCCUCCCGAGUAGCUGGGAUUGCAGCCACCCACCACCAUGCCAGGCUAAUUUUUGUAUUUUUAGUAGAGAUGGGGUUUCGCCAUGUUGGCCAGGCUGGUCUCGAACUCCUGACCUCAAGUGAUCCGCCCACCUCAACCUCCCAAAGUGCUGGGAUUACAGGCAUGAGCCACUGUACCUGGCCCCUUCCAGUACUUUUAAUAUUCAAACUAAUAAAUGGGAAUUUCAUCUCCAGCUUUUAAGUAACAGAAAGUCAGAACAAUUGUCUUUCACCUGCUGUUUUUCAAGUGCUUUUAACUCAAAAUAGUCAAUAUGCCAGAGUGGCAAAUUUUUAACUCCUUCAGUAGCCAAGCUAUAUAUACAUGGCUACAGAGCACUGAAAAUGUGACUACAGUGACCACGGAACUGGUUUCUUAAUUUUUUACGUGUUUAGUUAAAGUUUAAAAUGAAAUUGCCAUAUAUGGUAAGUGGUUGUCACACUGGACAGCACAGAGCCAUUAACUCAGUGUCUAAGCAUCGGCGCAGCCUGGCCCGGCUCCACUCUGGCCUUCUCUAGCCCUGCCCCCACACUGCAUGUGUCAUGUUCAUGAAGCCUGAUAGGUGGUGCAGUCCUCAAGGUAACAUUUCCCCUUGGUUUAGUCCACAUCAGAGAUGAAUCUCAGGCACUGUUUGCUGUAUAGGCUGGUUCAUUCAAGCCUCGCUAUUGGAAGACUAAAAGGACAGUGGGAGCAUACCCAUGCCAUGGGUAUGUUAAGGUCAACAGGUCACGUGACUGACUGCUGGUCGAGAAGCAACUCUCAAAGUCCCUCUCUUGUACCUGUGUGCUGUCUGGGUCAAUUACCACGUGUUUCUAUUAUAAAAGUAUCUUAAGCUAUUCUUGUAAGGAUUCAUCUUUUCUGUGGUAUCUGAAAGUCAAAUCUGUGCUGAGCUGGCCCCAGUUCUUUGGCAAUCCUAAACUACAGUUGUCCCAUACUCUUAAGUGACAGGUAGCGACAGCCUUGCGAGUUGUCUCUUUAGACCUUUUAGCUACUAUUAAUUUAACAGCCAUAAUGUGUCCUAGAGUAUAGUACUGGACUCCAGGUCUGAAUAAAUGAAUGAAUCAUACAGCCGUCAAUUACUUAUUUCCCACAAGACUUGAAUUUAUGUCUCAGUUGCAGCAAACAGGUCUUAGCUUUUUUUUUU